RNAcentral lists this non-coding RNA (86 nucleotides) under Pseudomonas fluorescens HK44. The record is from RNAcentral. Lineage: Bacteria; Pseudomonadati; Pseudomonadota; Gammaproteobacteria; Pseudomonadales; Pseudomonadaceae.
CAUUAUGGCGGCUGUGUGCGGGCAGACUUAGGUCUGGCUGGGUGCCUACGACCGGUAUUCUCACCCCGUUCACAGCUGCCACCUCU